This 332-nucleotide ribosomal RNA is filed under the name Sigambra magnuncus. RNAcentral's name for it is "eukaryotic LSU rRNA". The stretch from base 1 to 114 matches the Rfam family "5.8S ribosomal RNA", at positions 40 to 154 of the family's 154-position model. Lineage: Eukaryota; Metazoa; Annelida; Polychaeta; Phyllodocida; Pilargidae. The record is from RNAcentral.
AGAGCGCAGCCAGCUGCGUGAAUUAAUGUGAAUUGCAGGACACAUUGAACAUCGAUAUCUUGAACGCAUAUUGCGGCCUCGGUUCUUGCCGAGGCCACGCCUGUCUCAGGGUCGUAUGACUAGCAAUCGCAAAGUUCUCUUUGCGCCCUGGGUUGUCGAAGCUGCGCCCGUCCUCUGUGCGUCGGCUCCGUCGCCUCAAAUGCAGACCGGUCUGUGUCGGCAGACUUCGUCCGUGAACGCUCGGGCGGUGGCUCGGAUCUGAAUCGCCCCCGCAGCGUGUCUUGUUCGAAACUUCGUCGACGACCAAUCAUUUCAUUCAUUUGAUGACCUGA